CAAGUCGAACGCGAAAGUCCCCUUCGGGGGACAAGUAGAGUGGCGCACGGGUGAGUAACACGUAGGUAAUCUACCUUCGGAUGGGGAAUAACAACCGGAAACGGUUGCUAAUACCGCAUAAUGCAGCGGCACCUAAUGGUGACAGUUGUUAAAGCGGGGGAUCGCAAGACCUCGCGUCUGAAGAGGAGCCUGCGGCGGAUUAGCUAGUUGGUAAGGUAAUGGCUUACCAAGGCGACGAUCCGUAACCGGCCUGAGAGGGCGGUCGGUCACACUGACACUGACAUACGGGUCAGACUCCUACGGGAGGCAGCAGUCGGGAAUUUUGGGCAAUGGGCGAAAGCCUGACCCAGCAACGCCGCGUGAAGGAUGAAUCCCUCGGGAUGUAAACUUCGCAAGAACGGGAAGAAUAAGUAGGGGACAAUACCCCCUAUGAUGACGGUACCGUUUGUAAGCUCCGGCUAACUCCGUGCCAGCAGCCGCGGUAAUACGGGGGGAGCAAGCGUUGUUCGGAUUUACUGGGCGUAAAGGGCGCGUAGGCGGCCAGCGCAAGUCAGUUGUGAAAUCUCCGAGCUUAACUCGGAAAGGUCAACUGAUACUGCGCGGCUAGAGUGCAGAAGGGGCAACUGGAAUUCUUGGUGUAGCGGUGAAAUGCGUAGAUAUCAAGAGGAACACCUGCGGCGAAGGCGGGUUGCUGGGCUGACACUGACGCUGAAGCGCGAAAGCUAGGGGAGCGAACGGGAUUAGAUACCCCGGUAGUCCUAGCCUUAAACGAUGAAUGCUUGGUGUCUGGGGUUAUAAA
This 799-nucleotide ribosomal RNA is filed under the name uncultured Bacillota bacterium. Its description in RNAcentral is "bacterial SSU rRNA". It matches the Rfam family "Bacterial small subunit ribosomal RNA", at positions 58 to 836 of the family's 1533-position model. Lineage: Bacteria; Bacillati; Bacillota. The record is from RNAcentral.